AAGGGUCCGUAAUAUUGUAUUUUAUACGAAUUAAAGAGAUUAAUUAUCGUACUAUUAUACUAGAGUCUUAUAGAGGAAUUGAGGAAUUAUAUGAGUAAGGAUGAAAUCUUUUGAUACAUAAAAGACCGCUAAUGGCGAAAGCAUCAUUCCAGGUUUAGACUGACAUAGAGGGACGUAGGCGUUAAAAGCAAAAAGGAUUAGAUACCCUUGUAGUCAACGCAGUAAACGAUAAAUGCUAGAGAUUAGUUAAAUUAAUUAGUCUAUAAAUGAAGAUAAUAAGCAUUUCACCUGGGAAGUAAAGUCGCAAGGCAGAAACCCAAAACAUUAGACGGUCAUGGAAAUCAGCAGUGAAGCAUGUUAUUUAAUACGAUAAUCCGCGUAAAACCUUACCAUUUCUUGCAUAUUUUUUAUUUCUAUUAAUUUAAUUUAUUAUAAAUAAUUUAUACAGGUGUUGCAUUGCUGUCUUCAGUUCGUGUCUUGAGAUGUUAGGUUAAUUCCAAUAAACGAAUGAAACCCUUAUUUCUUAAUAUAAAAAUAUAAAAUUAGGAAAAUUCUUGGAAAACGAGAAUAUAAUGGGGAUUAAGACAAGUCGUCAUGACCUUUAUGUUAUGGGCUAUAGACGUGCCACAAAAGUUAUAACAAAGGGAUGCAAAGAAAUAAAAAUCAGAGCUAAACCAUAAAAAUAACUAAUUACGGAUUAGAGUCUGCAACUCGACUCUAUGAAGAAGGAAUUGCUAGUAAUCGUAA
Molecule: ribosomal RNA, 747 nt
Filed under: Taphrina populi-salicis
Lineage: Eukaryota; Fungi; Ascomycota; Taphrinomycetes; Taphrinales; Taphrinaceae
Description: SSU rRNA
Rfam family: Bacterial small subunit ribosomal RNA
Source: RNAcentral